GAUGAACGCUGGCGGCGUGCCUAAUACAUGCAAGUCGAGCGGUAAGGCCCUUCGGGUACGACGAGCGGCGGACGGCUGAGUAACACGUAGGAACGUACCCCAAACUGAGGGAUAAGCACCAGAAAUGGUGUCUAAUACCGCAUGUGAUCUUCGGAUUAAAGCUUCGGCGGUUUGGGAACGGCCUGCGCAUGAUUAGCUUGUUGGUGAGGUAAUUGCUCACCAAGGCGACGAUCAUUAGCUGGUCUGAGAGGAUGACCAGCCAGACUGGAACUGAGAACGGUCCAGACUCCUACGGGAGGCAGCAGUAGGGAAUUUUCCACAAUGGGCGAAAGCCUGAUGGAGCAACGCCGCGUGCAGGAUGAAUGUCUUCGGAUUGUAAACUGCUUUUAUAUGUGACGAUAAUGACGGUAGCAUAUGAAUAAGGAUCGGCUAACUCCGUG
This 440-nucleotide ribosomal RNA is filed under the name uncultured bacterium. RNAcentral's name for it is "bacterial SSU rRNA". It matches the Rfam family "Bacterial small subunit ribosomal RNA", at positions 28 to 507 of the family's 1533-position model. The record is from RNAcentral.